GUGCUUGCUUUAGCAGCAUAUAUACUAAAGUUAGAAUGAUACAGAGGAGAUUUGCAUGGUCCCUAUGUGAGGAUGACAUGCAAAUUUGUGAAGCAUUUCAUAUUUUU
Molecule: small nuclear RNA, 107 nt
Organism: Vicugna pacos (alpaca)
Lineage: Eukaryota; Metazoa; Chordata; Mammalia; Artiodactyla; Camelidae
Source: Ensembl